CGUUAGCGGCGGGCCUAACACAUGCAAGUCGAACGCGAAAGGUCUUCGGACUGAGUAGAGUGGCGCACGGGUGAGUGACACGUAGGUAAUCUACCCUUUGGCGGGGGAUAACGUUCCGAAAGGAGCGCUAAUACCGCAUAAGACCACGGAGUCUCCGGACGCUGUGGGAAAAGGUGGCCUCUUCUUGAAAGCUACCACCGAAGGAUGAGCCUGCGUCCCAUCAGCUAGUUGGUAAGGUAAUGGCUUACCAAGGCGAAGACGGGUAGCUGGUUUGAGAGAAUGAUCAGCCACACUGGCACUGGAACACGGGCCAGACUCCUACGGGAGGCAGCAGUGAGGAAUAUUGGGCAAUGGGCGAAAGCCUGACCCAGCCACGCCGCGUGAGUGAUGAAGGCCCUCGGGUCGUAAAGCUCUGUGGAGAGGGACGAAAACCCUGGUUUCAAAUAGGCUCCAGGCUUGACGGUACCUCUUUAGCAAGCACCGGCUAACUCUGUG
Molecule: ribosomal RNA, 495 nt
Filed under: uncultured bacterium
Lineage: Bacteria
Description: bacterial SSU rRNA
Rfam family: Bacterial small subunit ribosomal RNA
Source: RNAcentral